This 112-nucleotide ribosomal RNA is filed under the name Enterocloster bolteae. RNAcentral's name for it is "[Clostridium] bolteae partial 23S ribosomal RNA". It matches the Rfam family "Bacterial large subunit ribosomal RNA", at positions 2815 to 2925 of the family's 2925-position model. The record is from RNAcentral. Lineage: Bacteria; Bacillati; Bacillota; Clostridia; Lachnospirales; Lachnospiraceae.
AUCGCGAAAGCGAGUAAGACCCCUUGAAGACGACGAGGUAGAUAGGUUAGAGGUGGAAGUGCAGUAAUGUACGGAGCUGACUAAUACUAAUCGGUCGAGGGCUUAUCCAGAA